Molecule: ribosomal RNA, 253 nt
Filed under: uncultured bacterium
Lineage: Bacteria
Description: partial 16S ribosomal RNA
Rfam family: Bacterial small subunit ribosomal RNA
Source: RNAcentral
UACGAAGGGGGCUAGCGUUUCUCGGAAUGACUGGGCGUAAAGGGCGCGUAGGCGGACGGCACAGUCAGGCGUGAAAUUCCUGGGCUCAACCUGGGGACUGCGUCUGAGACGUGUUGUCUUGAGUAUGGAAGAGGGUUGUGGAAUUUCCAGUGUAGAGGUGAAAUUCGUAGAUAUUGGAAAGAACACCGGUGGCGAAGGCGGCAACCUGGUCCAUUACUGACGCUGAGGCGCGAAAGCGUGGGGAGCAAACAGG